UUUACUUUUUUUUUGUUGUUUGUUUCUUUUGGUUUUUUUUUUGUUGUUUGUUUCUUUUGGUUUGAUUUUAUCCAAACAGAUAAUCAAGGAAUCACUCAGUCUAAAAGGAAUCUCAGCUGGUCAGCCAGUUUCACCUCCUGCUCAGAAAAAGGUCAAUGCUGAAUUCAGACCAGGUUUUGCAAAGCUCUUUUGCCAUCAAGACCUUGAAGAUUUUGAAGAACAAAGACUUCACAGCCUCUCUGAGUAACCUGUUUGUAUGCUCAAUUAUCCUCAUAGUGGGUUAUUUUCUUUAUCUCUAUUCAGAACUUGUUUGAAUUUAAAUAUAUUUUUUCCCUCUUUGUGCUAUUGUGCACCUCAGUAAAGACUCUAGCUUUAUCUUCCCAGCAACCUACUUCCAAGUAUUAUAGGGCUACUACUAGGUCCCCUCAACUUUCUUAUUUAGGCAGAACAAGCACGAUUCUUUUAAUUGGUCCUCAAAGAAUGUGCCAUUUUAGUAAUCUGGAUAUGCUUUAAAUCUGUUCAGUGAUCUUCACAGCAAGAAAAACUAAUUGUAAUACAUUAUUUGAUACUAGAUUUUCUCGGUGUCUAGAGUAGUACUAAAGUUUUGAGGGGGAAAGAAACUGUGAGAUUUUAAUAUUGUUAUAGUAGUAACAUAAUUUUUUUUUUUAAUCAUCGACUAUACUCACUAGUACUUUAUGUUUUCUUCAGAACUUUUUUCAGAACUUUUCUGUCUUCACAGGAGAGGUGUUCCAGCCUUCUGUUCAUCUUUAUCGCCCUCCUCUGGACACUCCCCAACAAGUUUAUUUCCUUCUUAUGCUAUUGAAUACAAGAAUAAGGCCUUGUUCAUUGGUCCUCAAGUUAUGAAACAGAAUCCCACAAUGCAGAAAUAACUCUGGAAAUGUAUGUUUAGGAAUCAUAAUAAUGGGACCUUCCUCUAGCCCCCAACAUCCAGGAUCUUUGUAAGAAUGAGAGAGAAAGAAAGAAAGAAAGAAAGAAAGAAAGAAAGAAAGAAAGAAAGAAAGAAAGAAAGAAAGAA
This is a long non-coding RNA of Lonchura striata (white-rumped munia), 1036 nucleotides long. Lineage: Eukaryota; Metazoa; Chordata; Aves; Passeriformes; Estrildidae. The record is from Ensembl.